Trichonephila inaurata madagascariensis is the source of this 68-nucleotide non-coding RNA. NCBI's taxonomy places the organism in Eukaryota, Metazoa, Arthropoda, Arachnida, Araneae, Nephilidae. The record is from the annotation of a GenBank genome assembly.
UGUCCCUUGUAGCGCAAUGGAUAGCGCAUUGGACUUCUAAUCCAAAGGUAGUCUCAAAUCCAAAUUAA